Molecule: ribosomal RNA, 555 nt
Filed under: Polycentropus interruptus
Lineage: Eukaryota; Metazoa; Arthropoda; Insecta; Trichoptera; Polycentropodidae
Description: bacterial SSU rRNA
Rfam family: Eukaryotic small subunit ribosomal RNA
Source: RNAcentral
UACUAAAGUUGUUGCGGUUAAAAAGCUCGUAGUUGAAAUUGUGUCCUGCGGCGUCGGUCUACCGGUUGCGGUACGACAGGCGCGUCUGCGGGGCUUCUCGCCGGUGCGUGUUCACCGCCGGCACGUCGCCGCGCGUCGUCGCGCUUUGCGGCGUCGACGGCGUCGGCGGCGUCGAGGCGGGCCCUCGCGGCUGUUUACUUUGAACAAAUUAGAGUGCUCAAAGCGGGCUAAUAUUUGCCUGAAUAUUGUGCGCAUGGAAUAAUAGAAUAGGACCUCGGUUCUGUUUUGUUGGCUCUCUGAUACCGGAGGUAAUGAUUAAUAGGGACAACUGGGGGCAUUCGUAUUGCGACGUUAGAGGUGAAAUUCUUGGAUCGUCGCAAGACGGACUAAAGCGAAAGCAUUUGCCAAAGGUGUUUUCAUUAAUCAAGARCGAAAGUUAGAGGUUCGAAGGCGAUUAGAUACCGCUGUAGUUCUAACCAUAAAUGAUGCCAGCCAGCGAUCCGCCGAAGUUCCUUUGUUURAUUCGGUGGGCAGCUCCGGGAAACCAAAGCUUUC